GGGAGGUCUUGGCAACCACGAGCUGGUUAGGUCAAGAAGUCAGCAGAGGUCAUAGUACUUGUGGCAAACGAGGUGCAAAAGAAAUGCACAGGUCUCACAAGCAAGGAAGGAC
This is a non-coding RNA of Flavobacterium branchiophilum FL-15, 112 nucleotides long. The record is from Rfam. NCBI's taxonomy places the organism in Bacteria, Pseudomonadati, Bacteroidota, Flavobacteriia, Flavobacteriales, Flavobacteriaceae.